CCAAUAGCGUAUAUUAAAGUUGUUGCAGUUAAAAAGCUCGUAGUUGAAUUUUAGAACCAAUAUGUUGGUUGUGCCUCGGUACGUACUGGCAUUGUUGGUUUCUCCCUUCUGACGAACUAUGAUGUCAUUAAUUUGGUGUCAUGGGGAAUCAGGACUGUUACUUUGAAAAAAUUAGAGUGUUUAAAGCAGGCUCACGCUUGAAUACAUUAGCAUGGAAUAAUGAAAUAGGACGUUUGAUUCUAUUUUGUUGGUUUCUAGGAUCGACGUAAUGAUUAAUAGGGAUAGUUGGGGGCAUUAGUAUUCAAUUGUCAGAGGUGAAAUUCUUGGAUUUAUUGAAGACUAACUACUGCGAAAGCAUUUGCCAAGGAUGUUUUCAUUAAUCAAGAACGAAAGUUAGGGGAUCGAAGACGAUCAGAUACCGUCGUAGUCUUAACCAUAAACUAUGCCGACUAGGGAUCGGAUGAUGUUAAUUUUUUAAUGACUCAUUCGGCGCCUUACG
Molecule: ribosomal RNA, 499 nt
Filed under: uncultured Glomeromycotina
Lineage: Eukaryota; Fungi; Glomeromycota
Description: partial small subunit ribosomal RNA
Rfam family: Eukaryotic small subunit ribosomal RNA
Source: RNAcentral